Molecule: ribosomal RNA, 218 nt
Filed under: Anaerobacillus alkalilacustris
Lineage: Bacteria; Bacillati; Bacillota; Bacilli; Caryophanales; Bacillaceae
Description: partial 23S ribosomal RNA
Rfam family: Bacterial large subunit ribosomal RNA
Source: RNAcentral
GGUGUACCAGUUGUUCCGCCAGGAGCAUAGCUGGGUAGCUACGUAUGGAAGGGAUAAGUGCUGAAAGCAUCUAAGCAUGAAGCCCCCCUCAAGAUGAGAUUUCCCUUGGAGUUAAUCCAGUAAGACCCCUUAGAGAUGAUGAGGUUGAUAGGUCUCGGGUGGAAGCACGGUGACGUGUGGAGCUGAGAGAUACUAAUCGGUCGAGGACUUAUCCUAAA